This 25-nucleotide unclassified non-coding RNA is filed under the name Mus musculus (house mouse). Its description in RNAcentral is "oocyte_clustered_small_RNA8716". The record is from RNAcentral. Lineage: Eukaryota; Metazoa; Chordata; Mammalia; Rodentia; Muridae.
UAAGCACCACGUCAUCUCUGUGUCC